Molecule: ribosomal RNA, 440 nt
Filed under: Gyrinophilus porphyriticus (spring salamander)
Lineage: Eukaryota; Metazoa; Chordata; Amphibia; Caudata; Plethodontidae
Description: partial 12S ribosomal RNA
Source: RNAcentral
GCCCGGCCAUAAACUUUGGAAACACCCGCCAGAUAACUACGAGCCACAGCUUAAAAUUCAAAGGACUUGGCGGUGCUUUAUAUCCACCUAGAGGAGCCUGUUCUAUAAUCGAUACUCCCCGAUCAACCUCACCACCCCUUGCCAAUACAGCCUAUAUACCACCGUCCUAGCUGACCCUUUAAAGGAAUAACAGCAAGCGAAAUAACUUUUAGUAAAAAAGUCAGGUCAAGGUGUAGCACAUGAGGCGGAAAGAAAUGGGCUACAUUUUCUAAACAGAAAACACGAAAUAAUUUAUGAAACAAAAUAUGAAGGAGGAUUUAGUAGUAAAAAGAAAAAAGAGUGUUCUUUUUAAACAGGCAAUAAAGCACGCACACACCGCCCGUCACCCUCAUCACAACACAACAUCCUAAAUAAAAUAAUAAAAAAAAGAAGAGGAAAGU